CGGAGGAAAGCGUCCUGUUAUAACUGAGAAUCCCUAAGUGGCAACAUUUGCCGGCUCUGAACCCUGGGUUGCAUCUCAAGCUAACAGCAGCAGCACACCUACCAAGUCGCACCCAGGUCACCCAGGCUAACACCUCAUUCUCUUCCUCAGUCCUGUUGCCUCGACAGUGACCCUUUCUAAGUCAAAGUCCUUGAAGCUUCAGGAAGACGCAAGCAAUAGAUGACAUCCUGAAAAUUUAGGGACACAUUAAGAGAUUUCCUUUUUAUAGCAUUUGAAAUGUCUUUAUGCCUGUGUGAGUGUGGUGGUGGUGGUGGGGGUGUAGGGCAGAUGUCAACCUCAGAUGUUUCUCAGGUGACAUCUAUUUUAAUUGAUUAGUUGAUUAGUUAAUUAAUUAAUGAGACAGGGUCUCUCGAUGGCCCAGAGCUCUCAGCUAGGUUAGGCUGGCUGGCCAGUAAAUCUAAUCAAUCCACCUGCCUCAGCCUCCACAGUUCUUGGAUUACAAGUCAAGCAUUCCCCACUGUACCUGACUUGGCAUUUGACAUUUCUGUGAAGGGCACUAUUGC
RNAcentral lists this long non-coding RNA (563 nucleotides) under Mus pahari (shrew mouse). RNAcentral's name for it is "lncRNA (MGP_PahariEiJ_G0033093.1)". The record is from RNAcentral. Lineage: Eukaryota; Metazoa; Chordata; Mammalia; Rodentia; Muridae.